Non-coding RNA from Durio zibethinus, 1067 nucleotides. NCBI's taxonomy places the organism in Eukaryota, Viridiplantae, Streptophyta, Magnoliopsida, Malvales, Malvaceae. The record is from RefSeq and is a predicted model, not a curated record.
UUUUUGGUUUUCAGGCUUUUUUUUGAAAGAAUCGAAACUGACUUGACGUUACCGAUGCUAGUUUACUUGCGCCCACGGUUUCAGAUUUUUGCUUCUCCUGAGGCACUAAACCCUCAGUUGGCUGUUUGUUUUUCUACCUUUGUCUAUAAUAAAUAUAUUAAUUACUUAUGCAGCUAAUUUAAUUUGAAUUAUUGUACAAUCAAGAAUUAAUUAUUUACUUUUACCAUAUAAUUUUCACAUUACCAUGUGCUUCAUUUCAUUUGUUUUUAGAUAAUUACCAUGUGCUUCAUGGACUUGGCAGUUGGCACACAGUAAGUCAGUGACAUAGCUCAGAUCUAACCUGCCAUGAUAAUUUUUUUUAAUGGGCAAUGGUGAGAAGAUUUGUGGAUUUGUAUGCAAAUUUUUACUUCUUGCUUGAGUUUGCAGAUUACCGUUGCAUCCACUUGACCAAAAUAGAUGAGAAAUGAUAGGACAUAAUGCAAGGUAGAAUUGAAUAUUAACAUUAGUUGCUGUAUAGUGGAGCGCUGUUAAAAUUAAAGAGACUUUCAUUUCAAAUUCCCUACUCCAAACAUUACUUAAAAAAAAAUGAAGGCUGGCUUUGGCUUAUAUCACAUCAUUCAUGAAUUUAGAUUUUACUGUUUUUGGAAAAUCGAGAGAAAUUCAGUGAAAUCCAACGAAGAAGCUUGUCAACAGCUGAGCAAACAUUUUUCUUUGGCGAGAAUAGAAUGGUCAGACAGAGCCGGCUGAAUUGCCUAGCAGCCAAGCUAUUAUUUUUGUGAGGAAAGAAUGGUCAGAGUGAAAAGUAGUGAGGCGACCUUACUGACAAGUCGAAUAUUACAAAUAGGAAAAAGCUUUAAACAUGCUUCUGGAUUUGGAUGGAAUCAAUUUGUUCCAUGAUGAAGGGGCUUCAGGGUUGUUUUUUCUCCUUUUAAUCAUCAAAUUUGUGCUAUUCAACAAAUUCUAUGACCUUUCACCCAAGUAAUAAAGUUCUAGAUUCUUGACAAAUGGAUUAGGAUGUACUGGUUUGCCAGAUGUAUAAGAAGAUAAGUAUAAGUCUUAUUUUAAAA